GAUGAACGCUGGCGGCGUGCUUAAUACAUGCAAGUCGAACGAAGUCAGUAGCAAUAUUGGCUGAGUGGCGAACGGGUGAGUAACGCGUUGGUGACCUGCCCCGAAGAGAGGGAUAACAGUCCGAAAGGAUUGCUAAUACCCCAUGUGGUCGUUUGGAUUAGAUGCCUUACGACUAAACGGAUUUAUUCGCUUCGGGAGGGGCCUGCGUCCCAUCAGCUAGUUGGUAGGGUAAUGGCCUACCAAGGCUAAGACGGGUAGGGGACCUAAGAGGGUGACCCCCCACACUGGCACUGAAACACGGGCCAGACACCUACGGGUGGCAG
RNAcentral lists this ribosomal RNA (323 nucleotides) under uncultured Chloroflexota bacterium. Its description in RNAcentral is "bacterial SSU rRNA". It matches the Rfam family "Bacterial small subunit ribosomal RNA", at positions 28 to 351 of the family's 1533-position model. Lineage: Bacteria; Bacillati; Chloroflexota. The record is from RNAcentral.